This 305-nucleotide ribosomal RNA is filed under the name uncultured bacterium. RNAcentral describes it as "bacterial SSU rRNA". It matches the Rfam family "Bacterial small subunit ribosomal RNA", at positions 335 to 657 of the family's 1533-position model. The record is from RNAcentral.
GUUCCUACGGGGCGCAGCAGUGGGGAAUAUUGGACAAUGGGGGAAACCCUGAUCCAGCGACGCCGCGUGAGUGAAGAAGUAUUUCGGUAUGUAAAGCUCUAUCAGCAGGGAAGAAAAUGACGGUACCUGACUAAGAAGCCCUGGCUAACUACGUGCCAGCAGCCGCGGUAAUACGUAGGUGGCAAGCGUUGUCCGGAAUUACUGGGUGUAAAGGGAGCGUAGGCGGGAAGCCAAGUCAGCUGUGAAAACUACGGGCUUAACCUGUAGACUGCAGUUGAAACUGACUUUCUUGAGUGAAGUAGAGG